CAGGAGUGAAGCGUCUGUCUCUUGGACUGGAGAGUCCUCACUGUAAACUGGAAGCUCUCAGUCUGUCAGGGUGUCUGGUCUCAGAGGAAGGCUGUGCUUCUCUGGUCUCAGCUGUGAGAUCCACGUCUUCAAAACUGAGAGCACUGGACCUGAGCUACAACCAUCCAGGAGACUCAGGAGUGAAGGAGCUGUCAGCGGCAGUGGAGGAUCCACACUGCUCAUUGGAGACUCUCAGGGUGGACCAUGAUGAACAGCAGAGGCUCAAACCUGAUCUGAGGAAGUAUUUCUCUCAACUUCAACUGGAUGAAAACUCAAUGAACAGAAACCUCAAACUGUCCAACAAUAACAGGACGGUAACAUAUGUGGAGGAAAAGCAGCCGUAUCCUGAUCAUCCAGACAGAUUUGAUGACUGGACUCGUCAGCUGCUGUGUAGAAAUGUUCUGAGAGGGCAAUGUUACUGGGAGGUCGAGUGGAGCGGAGAUGUUUAUAUAUCAGUGAGUUACAGAGGAAUCAGAAGGAAAGGAGACAGUGAGGAGUGUUUGUUUGGAAGAAAUCAUCAGUCCUGGAGUCUGAUCUGCUCUGGGGGAUGUUACUAUGUCUAUCAUGGUAACAAUGAAACAUCCCUCUCUUCCUCCUCCUCCUCCUCCUCCUCCUCCUCCUCCUCCUCUGGUAGAGUAGCAGUGUAUGUGGACUGUCCUGCUGGCUCUCUGUCCUUCUUCAGAGUCUCCUCUGACUCUCUGAUCCACCUCUACACCUUCAACACCACAUUCACUCAACCUCUGUAUGCUGGAUUUAGACUCUGGUCUGGUUCUUCAGUGAGUCUGUGUCCUUUGUAGGAAGGAUGUGUCUCUCUCUGACAGCAGGAAGGGGGAGGAGUCUUUCUGAAGGUGGGAGUGUUUAUCAUAAAGUGGGAGGAGUAAAUCGCAAAGUAGCUGUACAAAACGAGAGUUACGAAUGUAACUACGGUUCUAUGAAUCCCGGAUGACUGGGAUGUUGACUGGGAUGUCAAGCAGAGGAAUGUUGCUUUCGCGCAUGCGCAGUUCGAGUAUGUAUACCAACAAACAUCACUCGUGACCCCUGGGUGACCCAGGAACUGUAUAAGUUCGGGAUCUUGACCCAGGAACAGCUCCUACAGAAUCUUCUCGCGCGAUCACGAGGAUUCCGAGUGACAGAGCGCUCUGGCGGUCAUCCGGGAUUCAUAGAACCGUAGUUACAUUCGUAACUCUCAUUCUAUUUCAUCCCUACUGACCGCCAGAGGCAGUGCUGAAAGCUCUGGAAUGAUGAAUGCCAACUCAGUCACGAGGAAUCCCAGAGACCAACCUCACUGAGAAGCCUCUGCAGGGCCCAGUACCACCCGCAGUGCAUGCGGAGGCACAACGGCCAGCCUGUAGAACCUGAAGGAGGUGCCAGGCGUUGUACAGAUAGCGGCAGCACAUAGCUCGUCCAGGGGCACCCCCUUCAGGGUGACCCAAGACGUGGGCACCGCCCUGGUGGAGCGGCAAUGCACACCCUCGGGCAGAGGCCGGCCUGCGGCCUGGAAUGGUGAACAGUGUCCACAACCCAGUGAGACAGGCACUGCAUGGAGAGAGGGGAGCCCUUACUAGGGCCUCUGUAGAAGAUAACCGGGUGGCCAGAUGUCGGCACAUCUGCAAAGCAGCCAUGCAGCAUUCCAGAGUUCUAGCUGGGCACAAGAGCCCCGGCCGGCCCUCCGGGUCAUCCGAUGGCGCCACAUAGAGUGAGUCACAUAGGCUGGCUGUCCUCAGCCCCGACAGCACUCCAGGAAGGAAGCGGCAGUCACAGCGUGACGCCCGCCCCAGCCGGACACCACCGGAGACAUGCGGGGAGAAUAGACAGAGCAUGCAAUUUCCCCACACACUACGCCAUGGUAAUGGCCAGCAGGAACGUCAUCCUACGCAACACCCACUGCAGGCCUGCCACUGCCAGGGGUUCAGGGAGGCUGACACAAGCUCUCCAGCACCAGAUGCAGAUCCCAGGAGGGUGCCCGUGGGGCUCCAGGGGGGCGAGCUUUAAAGCCCCCCUGAGGGAACCGACACCGCAGUGUGGCCCCCAAUCGCGCCGCCUGCAACCCAUGUAUGAUGGGCAGAUACCGCCGCCACGUACACCCUCAGGGUGAACGGGGACCAGGCUCCAUCCAAAGAGACUGCAGAAGUCUAGGACCAUGGGGACCAAGCAGAGCACCGGGUCCUGCCCACGGCCGCUGCACCACUGUGCAACCAACCUCCACCUACUACCAAACAGCCGCCUGGUAGACAGUGCCCUAGCAUUCAAGGUGGUCCACCUGACAGGUUCUGAACAGCUCAGCAGCGAGUUGGGCCCCUCAGUCGCCAGGACAGGACAGAGAUAGCGAGGGCGGGGGUGCCCCACCGGCCUGAAACAGCAGAUCCCUCCUGCUGAGAAAGCACCAUGGCCUACUGUGGAACAACCUGUAGAGCAGAGGAAACCAAGCUCACCCGCAGAAAGCUUUCGUAAGCCACUGCAAACGCACAGCUCCCCUAUGGAGGCACUACACCCCUGGUGGGGGAGUCCAACAGGAGAGGGUGCCUGCCAGCACCAUGAGGCCCCUGCAGGUACACAAUCUGGCCAAACAGGUCGCCGACCACCACAGCUGGGUCUGUAGAAAGCCUGAGGAAGGGUCAUCACCAGAUACAGGCUCCAGGCCGACACCAAGAGCGCGGCUCGGUAGGGCAAGUGCGAGAAGCUGAGGGAAGGGGGCGUACGCCACCUGCACAGCCAGUGCAACAUCACCAUGCCAGCAAUGUAGCGGUGCCACAUCCGGGAGAGGGAGUCGCAAAUCACCGGCUUACCCGCUCAGAGAGCCACCCCCAGAUGGAGUGCUCAGUGGCCUCCUGCUCUGUCCGCCACCCUCAUAAUGCCACCCACCGGAACGGUGGGGAAGGAACGGUGAGAAAAAGGCAACCGCCCCAAAGGGGAGGCCCCCUGACUACCCCCAGCAGCAGAAGAGACCUGCGCCUGCCCAGUAGUUCACGGUGCAUAGGGCCUGUAGCCACCAUCCAUGCACAGGUUGUCUGACAGCGCCUCCCUGAGGUGAACAGGACCAAGGCAACUGAGACAGCGGUCAUGGCCCCUGUAGGGGGCGCUCCACAGGUAACACCAUGGUGAGAACCACUACGUCCUGUCUGCAAGAGGUGGCUGGCCUCCUUCACACAUCACAGGCUAGCUGCUUAGCCGAGCUAGCGGCCGUACGCCGCCACGCGCCAUGUGAGGUGCCAACCGUGCAGCAGCGCUGGCACCUCACAUGGAGGGGAGCUUAAAUGCUGCUUCACAACAGUCAGAAGCACAGUAUCACAACAGCCAGACCGCUGCUCACUUCCUGAAGCUGGGAGAGGGACGCGAGCGGUGUGCCUGAGCCCCAGUAACACCGACCACGCUAUAACGGCCACGGUCAUCAUGUUCCAAACAAACCCGGGGGGAGCGAGCCGCAACCCCCCCAUCGGUCAGGAAGAGUAGUAGAUUCAGCAACCUCACUGUCUGCCCGGAGCUUAUGAAUGAAUCUCUCACUGCAGGCAACGCUGCCUCAGCAUCGUCGAGUAAGUGAACGGGACCGCAACACGUCACAGCCUUUGGACGGCAUCAGCAGCUCCAACCCUCAUGGUCACAAGGCUCCCAGCGACGGUGCGUCGUGAUGCCGCACAGGCAUGUCCCGCAAUCCACAAUGUGUACGAACUGUAUGUGAGAAGAAAAAAGAAGCCAAUCCUGGGGGGAGACCUGAAAUUAUACAGUUCCUGGGUCACCCAGGGGUCACGAGUGAUUGUCGGUAUACAUACUCGAACUACGCAUGCGUGAAGGGAACAUUUCAGUGCUUUCAGCACCUCCUCUGGCGGUCAGUAGGGAUGAAACAGAACAUUAGUUUUUUUCUUUGUUCUAUUUUGUGUUGUCUGGAAGUCUGUCACCUGCUGCCCAGGAGGAGCAAUGACGUUACAGCAGGGAUCACAAUGAGGUUUGUCUACUGGAAGAACUAAAUGGAGCUGGUGGAGCAAAAGAAUAAACUGAGAGGAUCCUCACUAUUUGAGAAGAAAAAAGAAGAACAUGAACGAUGCAUGGCAUUCAUUGAAUGAUGUCCUGAAAAAAUACCAGGGGUAGAACAAAUUAGUUCUCCACAGUAAUUUACUAGUAUUGAUCAACACAGUGACCGUAUGAAUGCCAUUUUGUAAAUGUUGGAAAUCAACUCAGAAUUUAUGGAAGUAAAUCAUGUGUUGUCUGAUUUUCAGUUUGAAAUUUUAUAUCUGAUUUUUUUUUGUUUUUGCACCAAAAUCAGACUGUGAAUUUUGAAAGCAUUUGAAUAGAUAGCACUAAAAAGUUUUUGCCUUUGAUUUUUUUUGUACAAUUUUUAAACAAACAGUCAAUGUUCAUAAUUCAACAAUAAA
RNA transcript from Salarias fasciatus (jewelled blenny), 4406 nucleotides. It is a transcript of the gene named stonustoxin subunit alpha-like, with no coding region annotated. The record is from RefSeq and is a predicted model, not a curated record. Lineage: Eukaryota; Metazoa; Chordata; Actinopteri; Blenniiformes; Blenniidae. The transcript has 4 exons.